CCUAAAUAUGCUCCAAUUUUUUAAAUUUCCUCUUCUGUGGUGCAAGUCUGGCUUUUUCCACAGGGCCUGCAUAGACUGGGGAGGGCAGAGCUGUGCAAGAUGUUCUGAACCAAAUGCCUUGGACAUAUCUGCAUUUAUUGGAUAAUUCAUUAAUUUAAAAUGCAUCCAGUCAUCUAUCAAGUACCUACCAUACCAAGGCAUGACUGCCUUACACCUUCUGGAAGAUGCGCUGAUGUGAAAACCUGCAGGAUCCCAUGGCUGCAACCUGUCAGUGCUUGGAUUUAAGUCAGCUGCAGGUUAUUCCCUUGAGAAUUAGCACAAGAAUGACUUGACUUAUGUAUUUUCAAUGGAUGCAAAUGUCAACCUUAUCACCGAGGAAGACAUAUGGUACCCAGUUCUGAAAGCUGAAUUCCCUUUCAUAAUGAAUUCAAAUCUCCUGCUGCGAUCGGAACUCCGUGCAGGG
Molecule: long non-coding RNA, 463 nt
Organism: Canis lupus familiaris (dog)
Lineage: Eukaryota; Metazoa; Chordata; Mammalia; Carnivora; Canidae
Exons: 3
Source: RefSeq, a predicted model, not a curated record